Molecule: ribosomal RNA, 484 nt
Filed under: uncultured bacterium
Lineage: Bacteria
Description: partial 16S ribosomal RNA
Rfam family: Bacterial small subunit ribosomal RNA
Source: RNAcentral
UGAACGCUGGCGGCGUGCCUAAUACAUGCAAGUCGAACGCUGGAGAUCUAGCUUGCUCGCUCGACGGAGUGGCGAACGGGUGAGUAAUACAUAAGCAACCUACCCACGAAGACUGGGAUAAUCUCUGGAAACGGGGACUAAUACCGGAUAGGUAAUCGGAAGGCAUCUUCUGGUUAUUAAAGGUUAAAAACACUGGUGGAUGGGCUUAUGGCGCAUUAGUUAGUUGGUGAGGUAACGGCCCACCAAGACGAUGAUGCGUAGCCGGCCUGAGAGGGUGAACGGCCACAUUGGGACUGAGACACGGCCCAGACUCCUACGGGAGGCAGCAGUAGGGAAUUUUCGGCAAUGGGGGCAACCCUGACCGAGCAACGCCGCGUGAGUGAAGACGGCCUUCGGGUUGUAAAGCUCUGUUGUAAGGGAAGAACGGUAGAUAGAGAAUAUCUAAGUGACGGUACCUUACCAGAAAGCCACGGCUAACUACGUG